This 497-nucleotide ribosomal RNA is filed under the name uncultured bacterium. RNAcentral describes it as "partial 16S ribosomal RNA". It matches the Rfam family "Bacterial small subunit ribosomal RNA", at positions 28 to 507 of the family's 1533-position model. The record is from RNAcentral.
GAUGAACGCUGGCGGCGUGCCUAAUACAUGCAAGUCGAGCGAACGGACGAGAAGCUUACUUCUCUGAUGUUAGCGGCGGACGGGUGAGUAACACGUGGAUAACCUACCUAUAAGACUGGGAUAACUUCGGGAAACCGGAGCUAAUACCGGAUGAUAUUUUGAACCGCAUGGUUCAAAAGUGAAAGACGGUCUUGCUGUCACUUAUAGAUGGAUCCGCGCUGCAUUAGCUAGUUGGUAAGGUAACGGCUUACCAAGGCAACGAUGCAUAGCCGACCUGAGAGGGUGAUCGGCCACACUGGAACUGAGACACGGUCCAGACUCCUACGGGAGGCAGCAGUAGGGAAUCUUCCGCAAUGGGCGAAAGCCUGACGGAGCAACGCCGCGUGAGUGAUGAAGGUCUUCGGAUCGUAAAACUCUGUUAUUAGGGAAGAACAUAUGUGUAAGUAACUGUGCACAUCUUGACGGUACCUAAUCAGAAAGCCACGGCUAACUACGUG